CCUACGGGAGGCAGCAGUGGGGAAUAUUGGGCAAUGGACGCAAGUCUGACCCAGCAACGCCGCGUGAAGGAAGAAGGCUUUCGGGUUGUAAACUUCUUUUAAGGGGGAAGAGCAGAAGACGGUACCCCUUGAAUAAGCCACGGCUAACUACGUGCCAGCAGCCGCGGUAAUACGUAGGUGGCAAGCGUUGUCCGGAUUUACUGGGUGUAAAGGGCGUGCAGCCGGAGAUACAAGUCAGAUGUGAAAUCCACGGGCUCAACCCCGGAGCUGCAUUGGAAACUGUGAGGCUGGAGUGUCGGAGAGGCAGGCGGAAUUCCUAGUGUAGCGGUGAAAUGCGUAGAUAUUAGGAGGAACACCAGUGGCGAAGGCGGCCUGCUGGACGAUGACUGACGCUGAGGCUCGAAAGCGUGGGGAGCAAACAGGAUUAGAUACCCGAGUAGUC
RNAcentral lists this ribosomal RNA (442 nucleotides) under uncultured bacterium. RNAcentral's name for it is "partial 16S ribosomal RNA". It matches the Rfam family "Bacterial small subunit ribosomal RNA", at positions 338 to 795 of the family's 1533-position model. The record is from RNAcentral.